This 21-nucleotide microRNA is filed under the name Mus musculus (house mouse). RNAcentral's name for it is "mmu-miR-669i". Its record names the gene mmu-miR-669i. The record is from miRBase by way of RNAcentral. Lineage: Eukaryota; Metazoa; Chordata; Mammalia; Rodentia; Muridae.
UGCAUAUACACACAUGCAUAC